CUCUUAUCAAGAGUGGCGGAGGGACUGGCCCGAUGAAGCCCGGCAACCUGCAGAGCACGUCUCUGCGUGGUGCCAACACCUGCGGCGAAAGCCGAGUGAUAAGAG
This 105-nucleotide non-coding RNA is filed under the name Thermanaerovibrio acidaminovorans. RNAcentral's name for it is "SAM-I sequence". It matches the Rfam family "SAM riboswitch aptamer (S box leader)". Rfam says of the family: The SAM riboswitch is found upstream of a number of genes which code for proteins involved in methionine or cysteine biosynthesis in Gram-positive bacteria. The SAM riboswitch acts at the level of transcription termination control. RNAcentral also lists the same sequence under 1 other name. Lineage: Bacteria; Thermotogati; Synergistota; Synergistia; Synergistales; Synergistaceae. The record is from RNAcentral.